GCUUAACACAUGCAAGUCGAGCGGGGGAAGGUAGCUUGCUACCGGACCUAGCGGCGGACGGGUGAGUAAUGCUUAGGAAUCUGCCUAUUAGUGGGGGACAACAUCUCGAAAGGGAUGCUAAUACCGCAUACGUCCUACGGGAGAAAGCAGGGGAUCUUCGGACCUUGCGCUAAUAGAUGAGCCUAAGUCGGAUUAGCUAGUUGGUGGGGUAAAGGCCUACCAAGGCGACGAUCUGUAGCGGGUCUGAGAGGAUGAUCCGCCACACUGGGACUGAGACACGGCCCAGACUCCUACGGGAGGCAGCAGUGGGGAAUAUUGGACAAUGGGCGCAAGCCUGAUCCAGCCAUGCCGCGUGUGUGAAGAAGGCCUUAUGGUUGUAAAGCACUUUAAGCGAGGAGGAGGCUACUUUAGAUAAUACCUAGAGAUAGUGGACGUUACUCGCAGAAUAAGCACCGGCUAACUCUGUGCCAGCAGCCGCGGUAAUACAGAGGGUGCAAGCGUUAAUCGGAUUUACUGGGCGUAAAGCGCGCGUAGGCGGCUAAUUAAGUCAAAUGUGAAAUCCCCGAGCUUAACUUGGGAAUUGCAUUCGAUACUGGUUAGCUAGAGUGUGGGAGAGGAUGGUAGAAUUCCAGGUGUAGCGGUGAAAUGCGUAGAGAUCUGGAGGAAUACCGAUGGCGAAGGCAGCCAUCUGGCCUAACACUGACGCUGAGGUGCGAAAGCAUGGGGAGCAAACAGGAUUAGAU
Molecule: ribosomal RNA, 743 nt
Filed under: Acinetobacter calcoaceticus
Lineage: Bacteria; Pseudomonadati; Pseudomonadota; Gammaproteobacteria; Moraxellales; Moraxellaceae
Description: bacterial SSU rRNA
Rfam family: Bacterial small subunit ribosomal RNA
Source: RNAcentral